This 78-nucleotide ribosomal RNA is filed under the name Pseudoalteromonas sp. SR43-3. RNAcentral's name for it is "partial 23S ribosomal RNA". RNAcentral also lists the same sequence under 1 other name. Lineage: Bacteria; Pseudomonadati; Pseudomonadota; Gammaproteobacteria; Alteromonadales; Pseudoalteromonadaceae. The record is from RNAcentral.
UGUGGAAGUGGUGUGAGCCAUUAAGCUAACUUGUACUAAUUACCCGUGAGGCUUAACCAUACAACGCCAAACGCGUUU